UGUCCCCUACGGGGCGCAGCAGUGGGGAAUUUUGCGCAAUGGGGGAAACCCUGACGCAGCAACGCCGCGUGAGGGAUGAAGGUCUUCGGAUCGUAAACCUCUGUCAGCAGGGAAGAACGGUCACUGUGCUAAUCAGCAGUGAAUUGACGGUACCUGCAAAGGAAGCACCGGCUAACUCCGUGCCAGCAGCCGCGGUAAUACGGAGGGUGCGAGCGUUAAUCGGAAUUACUGGGCGUAAAGCGCUCGUAGGCGGUAUGUCAAGUCAAGGGUGAAAUCCCCGCGCUCAACGUGGGA
Molecule: ribosomal RNA, 294 nt
Filed under: uncultured bacterium
Lineage: Bacteria
Description: partial 16S ribosomal RNA
Rfam family: Bacterial small subunit ribosomal RNA
Source: RNAcentral